Molecule: long non-coding RNA, 228 nt
Filed under: Elaeis guineensis (African oil palm)
Lineage: Eukaryota; Viridiplantae; Streptophyta; Magnoliopsida; Arecales; Arecaceae
Description: long non-coding RNA (EGUI_LNC022776)
Source: RNAcentral
AGCACUUGGUCGCAAUAGUGGUGCACUAGGUAGGGAAGUACCCAUAUGACUGUGGGGCAUCUAUUCUAGCUUAUAUAAAAAGGGACCAUCUAUCUCAAGUGAGGUGCCAUUUAGAUCGAAAUCUAGAGAGACAAACUUGUGAGGUCUAUGAGUUAGAGCGGAUGAUACCUCAUAUGCUGAGUCAUGAGCUUUUGGCCGCAAUAGUGGUGUGCUAACUAGAGGACCAUC